This 223-nucleotide ribosomal RNA is filed under the name Enterobacter hormaechei subsp. hoffmannii. RNAcentral's name for it is "partial 23S ribosomal RNA". It matches the Rfam family "Bacterial large subunit ribosomal RNA", at positions 1122 to 1343 of the family's 2925-position model. The record is from RNAcentral. Lineage: Bacteria; Pseudomonadati; Pseudomonadota; Gammaproteobacteria; Enterobacterales; Enterobacteriaceae.
UUUAAAGAAAGCGUAAUAGCUCACUGGUCGAGUCGGCCUGCGCGGAAGAUGUAACGGGGCUAAACCAUGCACCGAAGCUGCGGCAGCGACGCUUAUGCGUUGUUGGGUAGGGGAGCGUUCUGUAAGCCGUUGAAGGUGUGCUGUGAGGCAUGCUGGAGGUAUCAGAAGUGCGAAUGCUGACAUAAGUAACGAUAAAGCGGGUGAAAAGCCCGCUCGCCGGAAG